Molecule: ribosomal RNA, 2865 nt
Filed under: Triticum aestivum (bread wheat)
Lineage: Eukaryota; Viridiplantae; Streptophyta; Magnoliopsida; Poales; Poaceae
Description: partial small subunit ribosomal RNA
Source: RNAcentral
AUGGAGCCUGUGGUGACUGCUUCACAGGGGGCGUUGGGCCCCCUCCUGGUGAAGCUCACUGCCUUGCUUGCCAAUGAGUGUGGCCGCCUGAAAGGGGUUCGCCGUGAGAUCCGGUCGCUCCAAUCUGAGCUUACCAGCAUGCAUGGUGCGCUCAAGAAGUACACAAAGCUAGAAGAUCCUGAUGACCAAGUGAAGGAAUGGAUAUCACUGGUGAGGGAGUUGGCAUACGACACAGAAGAUUGCUUUGACAAGUUCAUUCACCACCUCGGCAAAGGUGGGCAUGAUGCUGGCUUCAAGGAGUUCUUCCGCGAGAUGGCUCACCGUCUAAAGACGCUUGGAGCUCGACGUGGAAUCGCCAACCAAAUCGAUGAUCUGAAGUUUCGCAUCAAGGAAGUGAAAGAGCUCAAAACUAGUUACAAGCUAGAUGAUAUUGCUUGUAGCAUCUCGGUCCAUGCGACAGUGGAUCCCCGGUUGGCCGCUCUCUUUGCUGAGGAGGCACACCUUGUUGGCAUUGAUGGUCCAAGGGAUGAUCUCGCCAAAUGGAUGGUGCAAGAAGAAAACAAACAUCACCGCAAAAUAUUGUCUAUCGUUGGGUUCGGUGGAUUGGGCAAGACAACAUUAGCAAAUGAGGUCUAUCACAAGAUUCAAGGGCAUUUUAAUUGUCAUGCUUUUGUGUCAGUCUCCCAAAAGCCAGAUACGAAGAAAAUUAUCAAGGAUGUGAUCUCCCAAGUGUCCAACAAUGAAGAAUUCACAAAAGAUAUAGAUAUUUGGGACGAAAAAAAAUCCAUUGCAAAACUAAGAGAACUACUACAAGAUAAGAGGUAUCUUGUCAUCAUUGAUGAUAUAUGGUCUAUAAUGGCUUGGAACGCUAUCAAGUGUGCUUUUCCAGAGAAUAAUAAGUCCAGCAGAAUUAUAGCUACUACACGCAUAUUUGAAGUAGCAAGCUCUUGUUGUCCAGGUCCUGACGACCAGAUAUACGAAAUGAAACCUCUAAGUAAUGAUCACUCUAAAAUAUUAUUUUUCAAAAGAAUUUUUGGUACAGAGGACUGCUACAUUGAUAUGUUGAAAGAAGUUUCAAAUGCAAUAUUGAAAAAGUGUGGAGGCCUACCAUUGGCAAUUAUCAGUAUAUCAGGCUUGCUAGGAAACAAACCAUGUGUCAAAGAAGAGUGGGAGAAGGUGAAAUGGUCAAUUGGCACUGACCUGAACAAAAAGCAAAGUCUAGAGGGAAUGAAAAACAUUCUGUUGCUCAGCUACAACGAUCUUCCUCCUAAUCUCAAGACUUGCUUGCUAUAUUUAUGUAAUUUUCCUGAGGAUUACGUGAUUGACAGAGAAAGAUUAGUGAGAAGAUGGAUUGCAGAAGGAUUUAUUUCUGAAGAGCGUGGACAGAGCCGUCAAGAGGUUGCAGAGAAUUAUUUUUACGAGCUUAUCAACAAAAGCAUGGUUCAACCUGUGGACAUUGGCUAUGACGGUAAGGUUCGAGCUUGUCGACUUCAUGACAUGAUGCUUGAACUUAUCAUUUCAAAAUCCAUCGAAGAGAAUUUUAUCACGAUAAUAAGCGGCAGGCAAACUGUUUGGGAAAAUUCUCAAUGCUUUAUUCGUAGGUUGUCAAUCCAGCACAUUGACCAGGAGCUUGCAUAUGAGUUGGCAAAGAAAGAUCUAAGCCACGUUCGAUCCCUGACAGUAACAUCACCAAGUUGCAUCAAACAUUUGCCUGGACUUGUUGAAUUUGAAUCUUUACGUGUUCUGGAUUUACAAGAUUGUCUGGAAAUAGAUGAAUAUGUUAUGAAUGGUAUGGAAAAACUUUUCCAACUGAAGUACUUGAGCUUGCGGAACACGGAUUUAUCAAGGGUACCAUCAGGAAUAACUGUGCUGCAUGAUCUAGAGACCCUAGAUCUUAGGGAUACAAAGAUCAAAGAAUUGCCAGCUGGAAUUGUUCAGCUUACUAAACUACAACAUCUACUCAUUGGAAACAAAGGUUUAAUUGAAAUGGAGAUACCAGUGGGGAUUGGGAAUAUGACAAAAUUACGUGAGAUUGCUGGUUGCUUUACCAUCACCAAGAGUUCUGUAAGUGCACUAGAGGAGCUAGGGAAACUGAUCAAUUUGGAAGUACUCCAAGUCCAAGUAAUAAUGUACAUACUGAAGGAUGACGAAUCUCAGAGGUACAAGAGUCAUGCAGAGAUGUUUCUCUCCUCACUACGCAAGCUUGGUAGCCGCAAACUCCACACCAUAUGUAUAUCGGGUAGCUUAUAUCUAUUCGAUUUGAUAGAUUCCUGGUGUCCACCUCCAUCCGGCCUCCAAAAAUUUGAGAUGACUAUGGAUUACUAUUUAUCCAGACUUCCGAGUUGGAUUGCACCAGCAUUACUCACCAGUCUUGCAUAUCUAGACAUCAAGUUAAGUGAGGUAACAGGGGAGGAUCUUCGUGUACUUGGAGAGCUACCUGCGUUACUUUCUCUUGGACUGAGGACCAAGAAGGUUCAGAAAGACAAGCUUAUUUUGCAACGUGGAGCAUUCCGAUGUUUGAAGGAGCUGUUUGUUUUUGGUGUAGAUGCUGGAACCUCUCUCUUUGAGGAAGGGGCAUUGCCAAUGCUUGAGAAGCUUGACCUGUCGUUUUUUGUAUCAGUGACAAAAGGCGGUGGGUUCUUCUUAGGCAUUGAGCACCUCCAAUGUCUGAAAUUCUUUAAUGUUCGUUUUAAAUAUAAGUGGGCUACUUGUCCGGAAUGCAAGGCUGCAGCAGUUGCCAUAAGGAAUGAAGCUAAUCUGCAUCCCAACCAUCCGAGGGUAAUUCUCUAUAUGGAGACGUCGGAGAACGCCGUGAUGGCGUUAGAUGUGUUAUCCUUAGAUACAAGGUCGCGAUGGUGGUGCUGA